GGGUUGUGAGGUUAAGCGAAUAAGCGUACACGGUGGAUGCCUAGGCAAUCAGAGGCGAUGAAGGACGUGCUAAUCUGCGAAAAGCG
This 86-nucleotide ribosomal RNA is filed under the name Proteus mirabilis. RNAcentral's name for it is "partial 23S ribosomal RNA". The record is from RNAcentral. Lineage: Bacteria; Pseudomonadati; Pseudomonadota; Gammaproteobacteria; Enterobacterales; Morganellaceae.